UCCACUUGCCUGCUAAAGACAAGAUUGGUGGCAACUCCUGCUCAGCACGAGGACAAGGAGAGCCAGCCUGAAACUGCUACCACUCUACGACAGGACAAGAGCGUACCAGAAUAUUAAGAGGAGAAACAUCAAGAUCCACGUGAUGACCCUGAGCUCAUUCGGUAAGAUGGUGACAUCAAAAGUACAGAUUCAUCUCUCAUCUUGCAUAGU
RNAcentral lists this long non-coding RNA (210 nucleotides) under Crocodylus porosus (Australian saltwater crocodile). RNAcentral describes it as "lncRNA (ENSCPRG00005000753.1)". The record is from RNAcentral. Lineage: Eukaryota; Metazoa; Chordata; Crocodylia; Crocodylidae.